RNAcentral lists this ribosomal RNA (254 nucleotides) under uncultured bacterium. RNAcentral's name for it is "partial 16S ribosomal RNA". It matches the Rfam family "Bacterial small subunit ribosomal RNA", at positions 524 to 776 of the family's 1533-position model. The record is from RNAcentral.
UACGUAGGGUGCGAGCGUUAAUCGGAAUUACUGGGCGUAAAGCGUGCGCAGGCGGUUUUGUAAGCCAGAUGUGAAAUCCCCGGGCUUAACCUGGGAAUGGCAUUUGGGACUGCAAGGCUUGAGUGCGGCAGAGGAGACUGGAAUUCCUGGUGUAGGCAGUGAAAUGCGUAGAUAUCAGGAGGAACACCGAUGGCGAAGGCAGGUCUCUGGGCUGACACUGACGCUGAGGAGCGAAAGCAUGGGGAGCGAACAGG